UAGCAUAUCAAUAAGCGGAGGAAAAGAAACCAACAGGGAUUGCCCCAGUAACGGCGAGUGAAGCGGCAACAGCUCAAAUUUGAAAUCUGGCCCCUAGGGUCCGAGUUGUACUUUGCAGAGGAUGCUUUGGGCGAGGUGCCUUCCGAGUUCCCUGGAACGGGACGCCACAGAGGGUGAGAGCCCCGUCUGGUCGGACACCGAGCCUGUGUAAAGCUCCUUCGACGAGUCGAGUAGUUUGGGAAUGCUGCUCAAAAUGGGAGGUAUAUGUCUUCUAAAGCUAAAUAUUGGCCAGAGACCGAUAGCGCACAAGUAGAGUGAUCGAAAGAUGAAAAGCACUUUGAAAAGAGGGUUAAAAAGUACGUGAAAUUGUUGAAAGGGAAGCGCCUAUGACCAGACUUAGGCCCGGUGAAUCACCCAGCGUUCUCGCUGGUGCACUUUGCCGGGCACAGGCCAGCAUCAGUUUGGCGCGGGGGACAAAGGCUUCGGGAACGUGGCUCCCUCGGGAGUGUUAUAGCCCGCUGCGUAAUACCCUGCGCCGGACUGAGGUACGCGCAUCGCAAGGAUGCUGGCGUAAUGGUCAUCAGCGACCCGUCUUGAAACACGGACCAAGGAGUCGUCUUCGUAUGCGAGUGUUCGGGUGUCAAACCCCUACGCGUAAUGAAAGUGAACGCAGGUGAGAGCUUCGGCGCAUCAUCGACCGAUCCUGAUGUUCUCGGAUGGAUUUGAGUAAGAGCAUACGGGGCCGGACCCGAAAGAAGGUGAACUAUGCCUGUAUAGGGUGAAGCCAGAGGAAACUCUGGUGGAGGCUCGCAGCGGUUCUGACGUGCGAAUCGAUCGUCAAAUAUGGGCAUGGGGGCGAAAGACUAAUCGAACCUUCUAGUAGCUGGUUUCCGCCGAA
Molecule: ribosomal RNA, 898 nt
Filed under: Cordyceps chiangdaoensis
Lineage: Eukaryota; Fungi; Ascomycota; Sordariomycetes; Hypocreales; Cordycipitaceae
Description: partial large subunit ribosomal RNA
Rfam family: Eukaryotic large subunit ribosomal RNA
Source: RNAcentral